This 74-nucleotide transfer RNA is filed under the name bacterium. RNAcentral describes it as "tRNA-Val". It matches the Rfam family "tRNA". From Rfam's summary of the family: Transfer RNA (tRNA) molecules are approximately 80 nucleotides in length. Their secondary structure includes four short double-helical elements and three loops (D, anti-codon, and T loops). Further hydrogen bonds mediate the characteristic L-shaped molecular structure. tRNAs have two regions of fundamental functional importance: the anti-codon, which is responsible for specific mRNA codon recognition, and the 3' end, to which the tRNAs corresponding amino acid is attached (by aminoacyl-tRNA synthetases). tRNAs cope with the degeneracy of the genetic code in two manners: having more than one tRNA (with a specific anti-codon) for a particular amino acid; and 'wobble' base-pairing, i.e. permitting non-standard base-pairing at the 3rd anti-codon position. The record is from RNAcentral.
GAACUCGUAGCUCAGUUGGUUAGAGCGCUUCGUUGACAUCGAAGAGGCCAGAGGUUCGAGUCCUCUCGAGUUCA